This 69-nucleotide transfer RNA is filed under the name Marmota monax (woodchuck). RNAcentral's name for it is "tRNA.Ala". The record is from RNAcentral. Lineage: Eukaryota; Metazoa; Chordata; Mammalia; Rodentia; Sciuridae.
GGAGUUGUAGCUCAGUGGUACAGCACUUGCCUUGCAUGCCUGAGGCACUAUGUUCAAUCCUCAGCACCA